UCUGUUACAUUUAUGUUUUUGCCAGAUGUUUGAUCAUCAAGUGUUUUCCUAGAAAGUUCACAUAUAGUGUAAGUGUCAAACACUAGAACUUAUAGCUCUAACAUGAUAUAAUGAAUAUGAGAAGAAUGAAGCUGAUGCAGUGAAAGUGCUGGAUUGAGGAGAGUUACUAAAGAUCAACAAGAGCUGCUCAAAUCUGACUGUAGUGCAGGUUAUUUGCUGAAGUGUGGAGGUGAUGAGCUUUGAUUUCUGUUUUCUGUAGAGUUUCCAGUCUCAGCUCCUGAAUCUACAGACGUAAAUGAUAAUCCCUUUAGUACUUUCUCCUCUUUUGAUGUCUUGAGAGAAUCUGUCCUUCAGCUGAGAGACAAACUGGAGGAUUUCUGCAAAGAGGAGCUCAAGAAGAUCUCUGACAGAGGCAUUUUCCCCAACAUUGUUCCCAGGACUAGGAUACAAUAUUCCCAUCGGCUCACUCUGGAUCUGAACACAAUGAAUAAACGCCUCCGUCUGUCUGAGAGGAACAGAGUGAUUACUGGCACAAACGCAGAGCAGUUGUAUUCUGAUCCUCCAGACAGAUUUGAUCAUUGGGAGCAGAUGUUGUAUAGAGAGAGUGUGUGUGGACGCUGUUACUGGGAGAUUGAGUGGAGUGGAUAUGUGUAUAUAUCAGUGUCAUAUGAAGAGCAUCAGCAGGAAGGGACGGGGUAAUGAGUGUGUGUUUGGAUGUAAUGAUCAGUCCUGGAGUUUGGAGUGCUCUUCCUCCAGUUACUCAUUCAUGCACAAGUAUUUGAGCUCUUUUGGCCCGAAACCAGAGUAUUCCCCCCAGGUUGUGGUAAAAGUAGAUAGAACUAGAAGUGAGGAGAUGGGGCGGAGGAGGGAUGCUGAUAAACUCUGAGACGAACAGAGGUAAUUCUGCUGUAUAUAUUCUCUUGUCAUUGGUUGAUUGAUUAACUGAAUGCUCUCCAUGUGCGCUAAUUAGGUUCAUUAUCUGAACCUGCUCCUCCCGAACUUUGUUAAUAAAACAUCAUUAAGAAAUGUCUAAAUUAAGUGAGCUCUGCUUUAAACAAGCAAAAAUAUCUGUAAAAUAAUCUUAUUUCCAUAGGAAAAGCAUUUUUUGCAGUAUUGUUCAAUGGAAAUUAAAAGUGUUUUCUUUAUCUUCCAAGUUUCAGCAAAUAAAUUAGACUUGAACUUGAAAUUUUGUUUGUUUUUAGCAAGACUAUGAUAACUUACAAUAUCCUCUAGCCACUAUUUGACCUUUCUUUACUGGAAAUUGAAAAAUGGUAUUUUAGCAGUUAUAAAAGGACAUAUUCAGUAAAA
Molecule: long non-coding RNA, 1308 nt
Organism: Megalobrama amblycephala (Wuchang bream)
Lineage: Eukaryota; Metazoa; Chordata; Actinopteri; Cypriniformes; Xenocyprididae
Exons: 3
Source: RefSeq, a predicted model, not a curated record